UCCCUGGUGGCUCAAAGGUUAAAGCGUCUGCCUGCAAUGCGGAGACCCAGGUUCAAUCCCUGGGUUGGGAA
Molecule: transfer RNA, 71 nt
Organism: Ovis aries (sheep)
Lineage: Eukaryota; Metazoa; Chordata; Mammalia; Artiodactyla; Bovidae
Rfam family: tRNA
About the family: Transfer RNA (tRNA) molecules are approximately 80 nucleotides in length.
Source: Rfam